GACGAACGCUGGCGGCGUGCUUAACACAUGCAAGUCGAACGGAAAGGCCCUGCUUUUGUGGGGUGCUCGAGUGGCGAACGGGUGAGUAACACGUGAGUAACCUGCCCUUGACUUUGGGAUAACUUCGGGAAACUGGGGCUAAUACCGGAUAGGAGCUCCUGCUGCAUGGUGGGGGUUGGAAAGUUUCGGCGGUUGGGGAUGGACUCGCGGCUUAUCAGCUUGUUGGUGGGGUAGUGGCUUACCAAGGCUUUGACGGGUAGCCGGCCUGAUAGGGUGACCGGCCACAUUGGGACUGAGAUACGGCCCAGACUCCUACGGGAGGCAGCAGUGGAGAAUAUUGCAAAAUGGGCGGAAGCCUGAUGCAGCAACGCCGCGUGCGGGAUAACGGCCUUCGGGUUGUAAACCGCUUUCACCUGUGACGAAGCGUGAGUGACGGUAAUGGGUAAAGAAGCACCGGCUAACUACGUG
This 468-nucleotide ribosomal RNA is filed under the name uncultured bacterium. RNAcentral describes it as "partial 16S ribosomal RNA". It matches the Rfam family "Bacterial small subunit ribosomal RNA", at positions 28 to 507 of the family's 1533-position model. The record is from RNAcentral.